This 1948-nucleotide long non-coding RNA is filed under the name Salmo salar (Atlantic salmon). RNAcentral describes it as "lncRNA (ENSSSAG00000090214.1)". Lineage: Eukaryota; Metazoa; Chordata; Actinopteri; Salmoniformes; Salmonidae. The record is from RNAcentral.
GGCCAAUGGGAAUUGACCUGGUUAACAGGAGGCCUAGGAAAAAAAGAGAGGGAGAGAGACGUUGAGAAAAGGAUGGAUUUUUACAUACAGGACCGUUGGUGAAGAAAAAUUAUAAAAGAAGACAACAAAACUAUAACAAAACCAUUACCUACUAAGACAUGAAGGGAAAUAUCGAUUUUUUUUUAUAAGAUAGUUGUUAUAAUUUUGUUAAGACUUAGUAAAGACUGAAGCUACCGUUUCAUCAUGGAGGUAUUUGACAGCCUUGAGGUUAGCCUAGCAUAGUGUAACACCGAGAGAGAAUUGCUUGGGAAAGCUUAACGAGUUCAUGGGAUAUCGGUUACUGCUAAAGAGUACUGUCUGCAUUGAUGGCUGUGCUCGCUGUGGAUCUUGUGAGGAAACCUGCAAGGAACUGCCAUACUUCGCUGAAGGAAUAUCUUCAAGUAAUGAGUAUUCACAUACCUGCUGCGCCUUGGUCCAUUUAUGAAGACAGCCGUUACAGAACCACCCACCAAAGGACCAAGCAGCAGAAGAGGAGGAAGCCACUGGAGAGAAAAAAGGAGGAAUGGACUUGGGAACAGAUCCUGGACGGAGAGGGACCAUGGACUCAGGCUGGGGAUUAUCGCCUCCAGCAGUGGGAGAUUGAAGCGGCGAGAGCGGAGAGGCGCUAUUACGAAGAGAGAGAGCGCAACGAGCGCGAGAGGCACCCACAAUAAAAAAAAUUGGGGGGGCACACGGGUAGCUUGGCCAGGCCAGGGAAGAGCCGUAAGCCAGCUACCCGUGACUACAGGGAGGUGCAUAUGAGGUGGAGGGCGCCAUGUUACGCUGAGGUACGCACCAUCUCGCCUAUACGGACGCACAGCCCAGUUCGCCCAGUACCAGCGCCCCGCAGGUGCCAGGGCAAGGGGAGCAUCGAGCCGGAAGGGGUGAUGCCAACCAUGCACUCAAGACCGCCAGUGCGCCCUUUCGGUCCGGUGUUUCCCGCUAGACGCACUAGCAUGGAGGUGCGUGUCUCCAGGCUGGCACUUCCAAUACCAGCCCCACGCAUCAGGAGUCUAGUGUGUCAGCCCAGCCUCGCCAGUCAACAGUCACCAGAGCUGCCCGCCAGUCAACAGUCACCAGAGCUGCCCGCCAGUCAACAGUCACCAGACUGCCCUGAACUGCCAGAGUGGCCAGACUGCCCUGAACUGCCAGAGUGGCCAGACUGCCCUGAACUGCCAGAGUGGCCAGACUGCCCUGAACUGCCAGAGUGGCCAGACUGCCCUGAACUGCCAGAGUGGCCAGACUGCCCUGAACUGCCCGAGUGGCCCUCCUGCCCUCCGGUCCAGCCCGAGUGGCCCUCCUGCCCUCCGGUCCAGCCCGAGUGGCCCUCCUGCCCUCCGGUCCAGCCCGAGUGGCCCUCCUGCCCUCCGGUCCAGCCCGAGUGGCCCUCCUGCCCUCCGGUCCAGCCCGAGUGGCCCUCCUGCCCUCCGGUCCAGCCCGAGGGGCCCUCCUGCCCUCCGGUCCAGCCCGAGUGGCCCUCCUGCCCUCCGGUCCAGCCCGAGGGGCCCUCCUGUCCCCCGGCCCAGCCCGAGGGGCCCUCCUGUCCUCCGGUCCAGCCCGAGUGGUCCGUCUGCCAGGGUCAGCCCGAGUGGCCCGUCUGCCCGGUGCAGCUAUCGGCGCCAUCAAAGUGGGCGACGCCGAAGGUGGAGCGAGGUCCACGGCCUGCACCUGAGCCACCUCCAGGAUAGGUGGGUUGGGGAGGGAGGGUGUAGCACAGUGCCGUCGUUGACGGCAGCCACCCUCCCUUCCCUCCCUUAUUGUUUAAGGGUUAGUGUUUAUGGAUUUUGUUGGGGAUUUUGUUUGUUGGUGUUUUUUUUGUUGUUAGGUGCAUUCCGGGGUCUGCACCUUGAGGGGGGGGGGGUACUGUCACGUCCUGACCAGCAGAUGGAGCUGUUGUAGUAGUUUGGGG